GAUGAAGAACGUAGCGAAAUGCGAUAAGUAAUGCGAAUUGCAGAAUUUCCGUGAAUCAUCGAAUCUUUGAACGCACAUUGCGCCCCUUGGUAUUCCAUGGGGCAUGCCUGUUCGAGCGUCAUUUGUACCUUCAAGCUUUGCUUGGUGUUGGGUGUUUGUCUCGCCUUUGCGUGUAGACUCGCCUUAAAAUAAUUGGCAGCCGGCGUAUUGAUUUCGGAGCGCAGUACAUCUCGCGCUUUGCACUCAUAACGACAGCGUCCAAAAGUACAUUUUACACUCUUGACCUCGGAUCAGGUAGGGAUACCCGCUGAACUUAAGCAUAUCAAUAAGCGGAGGA
RNAcentral lists this unclassified non-coding RNA (337 nucleotides) under soil metagenome. RNAcentral describes it as "partial contains 5.8S ribosomal RNA, internal transcribed spacer 2, and large subunit ribosomal RNA". The stretch from base 1 to 121 matches the Rfam family "5.8S ribosomal RNA", at positions 35 to 154 of the family's 154-position model. The record is from RNAcentral.